RNAcentral lists this ribosomal RNA (480 nucleotides) under Clostridioides difficile. Its description in RNAcentral is "bacterial SSU rRNA". It matches the Rfam family "Bacterial small subunit ribosomal RNA", at positions 937 to 1416 of the family's 1533-position model. Lineage: Bacteria; Bacillati; Bacillota; Clostridia; Peptostreptococcales; Peptostreptococcaceae. The record is from RNAcentral.
GCAUGUGGUUUAAUUCGAAGCAACGCGAAGAACCUUACCUAAGCUUGACAUCCCAAUGACAUCUCCUUAAUCGGAGAGUUCCCUUCGGGGACAUUGGUGACAGGUGGUGCAUGGUUGUCGUCAGCUCGUGUCGUGAGAUGUUGGGUUAAGUCCCGCAACGAGCGCAACCCUUGUCUUUAGUUGCCAUCAUUAAGUUGGGCACUCUAGAGAGACUGCCAGGGAUAACCUGGAGGAAGGUGGGGAUGACGUCAAAUCAUCAUGCCCCUUAGGCUUAGGGCUACACACGUGCUACAAUGGGUAGUACAGAGGGUUGCCAAGCCGUAAGGCGGAGCUAAUCCCUUAAAGCUACUCUCAGUUCGGAUUGUAGGCUGAAACUCGCCUACAUGAAGCUGGAGUUACUAGUAAUCGCAGAUCAGAAUGCUGCGGUGAAUGCGUUCCCGGGUCUUGUACACACCGCCCGUCACACCACGGGAGUUGGAG